CGCUGGCGGCAUGCUUUACACAUGCAAGUCGAACGGCAGCGCGGGGCAACCUGGCGGCGAGUGGCGAACGGGUGAGUAAUAUAUCGGAACGUACCCAAGAGUGGGGGAUAACGUAGCGAAAGUUACGCUAAUACCGCAUACGAUCUAAGGAUGAAAGUGGGGGAUCGCAAGACCUCAUGCUCCUGGAGCGGCCGAUAUCUGAUUAGCUAGUUGGUGAGGUAAAGGCUCACCAAGGCGACGAUCAGUAGCUGGUCUGAGAGGACGACCAGCCACACUGGGACUGAGACACGGCCCAGACUCCUACGGGAGGCAGCAGUGGGGAAUUUUGGACAAUGGGCGCAAGCCUGAUCCAGCAAUGCCGUGUGAGUGAAGAAGGCCUUCGGGUUGUAAAGCUCUUUUGUCAGGGAAGAAACGGCUCAGCUAAUAUCCUGGGCUAAUGACGGUACCUGAAGAAUAAGCACCGGCU
This 466-nucleotide ribosomal RNA is filed under the name uncultured bacterium. RNAcentral describes it as "bacterial SSU rRNA". It matches the Rfam family "Bacterial small subunit ribosomal RNA", at positions 34 to 498 of the family's 1533-position model. The record is from RNAcentral.